UCUCCCCCUUUUCCCUUUGCUGCAUAACAACAGUAGCGCCGCCAUUACUGCCGUGAGAGAGCGAUAGUGGGCCUUCGCCGAGACUAUGAGCCACACGGAACAAGUUGGUCAGGGGUCUGCACCAAGCUAGUGCGAAACCAACCGCGGUAGUUGCUGGCGGAAUCGAUGGCUGGCCAACCCUUAAUUGCUCGUCGGAGCCACAAAACCACCACGGAUCCGCCUGGCACCGCGGCCAACCUCAACAGAGCGCCAAUCCUUGGUAAGAAACCCCUACAUCAAUACCUAGUCAUCUCCACUUCGUUUAGGGUUUGUCGCAUUAGAGUUUAGGGUCUAUUUGGGUCGGUUGGCGCACACCGGCAAUGACGCCAUCGUAUUCCGGCGAGUGCGCCGCUGAUCUGGUCGAGAGAUACCCCUUCGUCCGAUAAGGCCCUAGUCGUAGAUCUGCGAUCCGAGGGAUAAGAGCGAAUCUGAUGGAUUUAAAAUCUGGGGCGUUGAUCACUGAUCUGAUGGGCCGCAUUCCAUACCGCUUCAGUAUAAUCUGGAUCUAAUCCCGGCCCUCCAAUGAGGAUCUAGUGGCCCAAAACUCACCAUACCCUUUUGCCUGGUAGUUUUCCAUAAGCAUCCCUAUAGUUUUGUAUUAUCAACCCGCGGUCCCCUCGGGUGCGCCUCUGAGUCUCAGUUUCUUUUAUGCCAGAGCCUCUGUGUUUUUCAGAAAUU
This 717-nucleotide long non-coding RNA is filed under the name Zea mays. RNAcentral's name for it is "long non-coding RNA NONZMAT003255". Lineage: Eukaryota; Viridiplantae; Streptophyta; Magnoliopsida; Poales; Poaceae. The record is from RNAcentral.